Non-coding RNA from Merluccius polli (Benguela hake), 84 nucleotides. Lineage: Eukaryota; Metazoa; Chordata; Actinopteri; Gadiformes; Merlucciidae. The record is from the annotation of a GenBank genome assembly.
GCAUGUGGGGCUCAACUGGUAAGAGCAUGGUAUUAACACUAGCCGGGGUUAGGGGUUCAAUUCCCACUGUAAAUAAUGCAUGCA